GGGCGGGUGACCGAGAGGCUGAAGGUGCAGCACUGGAAAUGCUGUGUACGGGCAACUGUACCCGUGGGUUCGAAUCCCACCCCGUCCGCCA
RNAcentral lists this transfer RNA (91 nucleotides) under Chloroflexota bacterium. RNAcentral describes it as "Chloroflexi bacterium tRNA-Ser". It matches the Rfam family "tRNA". Rfam says of the family: Transfer RNA (tRNA) molecules are approximately 80 nucleotides in length. The record is from RNAcentral. Lineage: Bacteria; Bacillati; Chloroflexota.